UCACUGUCCACACUGCUUGACCCGAGAUUUAAAUGCAUUGGUUUCUGCAGUCAAGACAAAGCACAAUAUGCAGUGCGACGACUGACUUCUGAAUGUGCAGCGCUGAUGAGGCACACACUGGACACACCUACAAAUCCAUCUAUACCAGCUCCACUUCAACCAGCAGCACCAAAUGUACAAAAUCCAUCCUCCACAGCUUUUAACCUUUGGAAAAGCCUUGAUGAACAAGCAACUAUGGCAAGAACCCAGAGGAAUUCCACAGUAGAUGCUACUGUAGAGGUCCAGCGAUACAUGACAGACCUUCCUUUGUAAAGAUCUAAAGAUCCUCUGACCUACUGGAACAAACACAAAAUAUCUAUCCACAUUUGUUUAGGCUAGCAAAGCAAUACUUAUGCAUACCGGCCUCAUCAGUGCCAUGUGAACGUGUGUUUUCGAAAGCUGGAGAAAUUGUCAGCAAAAAAAGAAACAGACUCAGUCCAAAAACAGUGGAAAAAAUAAUGUUUCUAAAUAAAAAUCUUUAAGUCUC
Molecule: long non-coding RNA, 526 nt
Organism: Megalobrama amblycephala (Wuchang bream)
Lineage: Eukaryota; Metazoa; Chordata; Actinopteri; Cypriniformes; Xenocyprididae
Exons: 2
Source: RefSeq, a predicted model, not a curated record